Non-coding RNA from Podarcis lilfordi (Lilford's wall lizard), 72 nucleotides. Lineage: Eukaryota; Metazoa; Chordata; Lepidosauria; Squamata; Lacertidae. The record is from the annotation of a GenBank genome assembly.
GGAAGUGUGGCUCAAUGAAAGAGCACAUGGUUUGUACUCAGAAAGUCCCAAGUUCCAUCCUUGGCACCGCCA